This 500-nucleotide ribosomal RNA is filed under the name uncultured bacterium. RNAcentral describes it as "partial 16S ribosomal RNA". It matches the Rfam family "Bacterial small subunit ribosomal RNA", at positions 28 to 523 of the family's 1533-position model. The record is from RNAcentral.
GUUGAACGCUGGCGGCAUGCCUUACACAUGCAAGUCGAACGGCAGCACGGGAGCAAUCCUGGUGGCGAGUGGCGAACGGGUGAGUAAUGUAUCGGAACGUGCCCAGUCGUGGGGGAUAACGUAGCGAAAGCUACGCUAAUACCGCAUACGAUCUGUGGAUGAAAGCGGGGGACCGUAAGGCCUCGCGCGAUUGGAGCGGCCGAUAUCAGAUUAGGUAGUUGGUGGGGUAAAGGCCUACCAAGCCGACGAUCUGUAGCUGGUCUGAGAGGACGACCAGCCACACUGGGACUGAGACACGGCCCAGACUCCUACGGGAGGCAGCAGUGGGGAAUUUUUGACAAUGGGCGCAAGCCUGAUCCAGCAAUGCCGCGUGCAGGAUGAAGGCCUUCGGGUUGUAAACUGCUUUUGUACGGAACGAAAAGCCCCGGGUUAAUACCCUGGGGUCAUGACGGUACCGUAGGAAUAAGCACCGGCUAACUACGUGCCAGCCGCCGCCGUAA